This 230-nucleotide ribosomal RNA is filed under the name uncultured bacterium. RNAcentral's name for it is "partial 16S ribosomal RNA". It matches the Rfam family "Bacterial small subunit ribosomal RNA", at positions 564 to 791 of the family's 1533-position model. The record is from RNAcentral.
AGCGCGCGUAGGUGGUUUGUUAAGUUGGAUGUGAAAGCCCCCGGGCUCAACCUGGGAAUGGCAUUUGUGACUGCACGGCUAGAGUGUGUCAGAGGGGGGGUAGAAUUCCACGUGUAGCAGUGAAAUGCGUAGAUAUGUGGAGGAAUACCGAUGGCGAAGGCAGCCCCCUGGGAUAACACUGACGCUCAUGCACGAAAGCGUGGGGAGCAAACAGGAUUAGAUACCCUGGU